Molecule: unclassified non-coding RNA, 310 nt
Filed under: Hevea brasiliensis (rubber tree)
Lineage: Eukaryota; Viridiplantae; Streptophyta; Magnoliopsida; Malpighiales; Euphorbiaceae
Source: RNAcentral
UUUUGUUGGAUCCAAAUGCGUCUCAACCUCUUCAAGGAGGCCAGAUAAAGGUCCAUUGCUCAGUUGUGUAACCAGGGGAUUUGCAGCACUUGAGUUUGUGCCAGCAGCCACAAGAGCUACCAGCUGCCUUUGACUUUCAGCCAAUUCCCCACUCAGUGUUUGAGUCAAUGAUGAAGCAGAGUUGAUGGCUUCUCUUAAAGCAAGAGCCAACGAAGAAUGUGCAGAUUCAAAAUGCUGUUGAGCUGCAGUUGUAUGUUCAACCAUCCCUUUACGGAAGGUGGAAUCCACUUGCUCAAACAUAGCUUUGCAU